Molecule: ribosomal RNA, 504 nt
Filed under: uncultured bacterium
Lineage: Bacteria
Description: partial 16S ribosomal RNA
Rfam family: Bacterial small subunit ribosomal RNA
Source: RNAcentral
GAUAAACGCUAGCGGCAGGCUUAACACAUGCAAGUCGAGGGGCAGCAUAGAUUGUAGCAAUACAAUUGGUGGCGACCGGCGCACGGGUGCGUAACGCGUAUGCAACCUACCCGUCACAGGGGGAUAAUCCGGAGAAAUCUGGUCUAAUACCCCAUAACAUAUGGAUCGGCAUCGGUUCAUGUUGAAAUUUUCGGAGGUGACGGAUGGUCAUGCGUAGCAUUAGCUUGUUGGUGAGGUAACGGCUCACCAAGGCGACGAUGCUUAGGGGGACUGAGAGGUUUUCCCCCCACACUGGUACUGAGACACGGACCAGACUCCUACGGGAGGCAGCAGUGAGGAAUAUUGGUCAAUGGGCGCAAGCCUGAACCAGCCAUGCCGCGUGAAGGAUGACGGCUCUAUGAGUUGUAAACUGCUUUUGUACGAGGGUAAAGUGGGUUACGUGUAACCUUUUGGAAGUAUCGUACGAAUAAGGAUCGGCUAACUCCGUGCCAGCCGCCGCCGUAA